GAUGAACGCUGGCGGCGUGCCUAACACAUGCAAGUCGAGCGGAAGGGCGCUGCUUUUGCGUGGUUCCCGAGUGGGGAGGGGGUGUGAAACACGUGAGUAUCCCGCCCUUUACUGUGUGAUAUCCUCAGGAGACUGCGGCUAAUACCUGAUAGGAGCUCCUGCUGCAUGGGGGUGUUUGGAAAGUUUCGGCGGUUGGGGAUCGAGUCGCGGGUUAUCAGCUUGUUGGUGGGGUAGCUGCGUACCAAGGCUUCGAUGGGUAGCCGGCAUGAUAGGGUGGACAGCCACAUUAGGACUGAGAGAGGGGCCAGACUGGUAAGGGAGGCAGCAGGGGGGAAUGUUGCACACUGGGCGGAAGCGUGUUGCGAAGGUGUUGGGAGCGGAAAGAACUCCUAGGGGGGAUGAACCGCUGUAGGCUGAGACGUAGCGUGAGUGACGGUAAUGACUAAAGAAGCACCGGCUAACUACGUG
Molecule: ribosomal RNA, 468 nt
Filed under: uncultured bacterium
Lineage: Bacteria
Description: partial 16S ribosomal RNA
Rfam family: Bacterial small subunit ribosomal RNA
Source: RNAcentral